This 379-nucleotide unclassified non-coding RNA is filed under the name uncultured Gammaproteobacteria bacterium. Its description in RNAcentral is "contains 16S-23S intergenic spacer region". The record is from RNAcentral. Lineage: Bacteria; Pseudomonadati; Pseudomonadota; Gammaproteobacteria.
UCCGGUUCACCACCGGCAGUCUCCUUAGAGUGCUCAACUUUACUUGCUAGCAACUAAGGACAAGGGUUGCGCUCGUUACGGGACUUAACCCAACAUCUCACAACACGAGCUGACGACAGCCAUGCAGCACCUGUCUCUGAGCUCCUUUCGGCACCCCAAUCUCUCAAUCGGGUUCUCAGGAUGUCAAGAGUAGGUAAGGUUCUUCGCGUUGCAUCGAAUUAAACCACAUGCUCCACCGCUUGUGCGGGCCCCCGUCAAUUCCUUUGAGUUUCAACCUUGCGGCCGUACUCCCCAGGCGGAAAACUUAUCGCGUUAGCUUCGCUACUCAGGAGUUUUACCUCCCAAACAGCUAGUUUUCAUCGUUUACAGCGUGGACUAC